AUUUUACUAUUAAUACUCAUUAUCCCAUUCGCUGUUCUGCUGUGCUUAAUUUUCACAAAAGUUCAAGGUUAUCACCCCUGAAAUUUUUUUCCCACUAAGAACAUAGCAAGAAAAUGAAUGUAAUAUCAAGAACCUAGAAGUCUUCUACUAACCAGUGCUUUAUAUUCUUCAUGUUUCUAUUAGAUUUCUGUGUUAGGGAAGCAUGGUAAAGAGGCUAAUUGCGCUUGAACUUGGCUUGGCUACCUAUGAAGGGGGCUCAAGGUUCAACACCCAACUUGGGCAGAGUUGUGUUUACUGAGUGCCUGAAGGCAGCACGGAAAAAACUUCUCCUAGAUACCCCCCUCCCCCCCAACUGAGAUUGAACCAAAGUGCUCUGAGCAAGCUAUAAGCAUGAAAGUAACGCUAUAUAAAUGCCAUAAUUUAUAAUUUAUUUGUCAUGGAUCAAAUAAAAUUGUUUCCAAUUUUUUCAUAUCAUAUAUUACAAAAAAAUGCUAAUGAUGUAUUUAACAUUGUGAUAGAUACCAUUAUUUUCUUUUGUAAAGAAAAGAAUAAAAAUUACCUGAAGACAA
Biomphalaria glabrata is the source of this 569-nucleotide long non-coding RNA. RefSeq lists it as uncharacterized. NCBI's taxonomy places the organism in Eukaryota, Metazoa, Mollusca, Gastropoda, Planorbidae. The transcript is spliced from 2 exons. The record is from RefSeq and is a predicted model, not a curated record.